GAACCUACCUUUUACAGAGGAAUAGCCUUUAGAAAUGAAGAUUAAUGCCUCAUGGUAUUGUAGACUGGCAUCAGUUUAUAAUUAAAGAUUUAUCGGUAAAAGAUGGCUAUGCGUCCUAUUAGUUAGUUGGUAAGGUAACGGCUUACCAAGACAGCGAUAGGUAGGGGUCCUGAGAGGGAGAUCCCCCACACUGGUACUGAGACACGGACCAGACUCCUACGGGAGGCAGCAGUGAGGAAUAUUGGACAAUGGAGGAGACUCUGAUCCAGCCAUGCCGCGUGUAGGAAGAAUGCCCUAUGGGUUGUAAACUACUUUUAUACAGGAAGAAACACUGGUAUGUA
This 341-nucleotide ribosomal RNA is filed under the name uncultured Polaribacter sp. RNAcentral describes it as "bacterial SSU rRNA". It matches the Rfam family "Bacterial small subunit ribosomal RNA", at positions 122 to 462 of the family's 1533-position model. The record is from RNAcentral. Lineage: Bacteria; Pseudomonadati; Bacteroidota; Flavobacteriia; Flavobacteriales; Flavobacteriaceae.